UGGGGAAUUUUGGACAAUGGGCGCAAGCCUGAUCCAGCAAUGCCGCGUGCAGGAUGAAGGCCUUCGGGUUGUAAACUGCUUUUGUACGGAACGAAACGGCUCUGUCUAAUACAUGGGGCUAAUGACGGUACCGUAAGAAUAAGCACCGGCUAACUACGUGCCAGCAGCCGCGGUAAUACGUAGGGUGCAAGCGUUAAUCGGAAUUACUGGGCGUAAAGCGUGCGCAGGCGGUGAUGUAAGACAGGUGUGAAAUCCCCGGGCUUAACCUGGGAAUUGCAUUUGUGACUGCAUCGCUGGAGUGCGGCAGAGGGGGAUGGAAUUCCGCGUGUAGCAGUGGAAUGCGUAGAUAUGCGGAGGAACACCGAUGGCGAAGGCAGCUUACUAUGGUUUUAUUGACGCUGAGGCACGAAAGCGUGGGGAUCAAACA
Molecule: ribosomal RNA, 427 nt
Filed under: uncultured bacterium
Lineage: Bacteria
Description: bacterial SSU rRNA
Rfam family: Bacterial small subunit ribosomal RNA
Source: RNAcentral